CUAUCUUCAACUGCCUGUUAGGCCUAAGUAUGUAGGGUCCAAGAUGAUUUUCUCUUUUAAAAUCAUGGCAACCACAAAUCCUUUGGAUGUGAUGGCAGGAGUAGCAGCAGUGACAGCAUAAACUUCUCUCUAAAAAUAAAAAGUUUAAAAGUUAAAGUUAAUAAUGACAACACAGAACUUAAAAAUCAGUUAACAAAAUGCCUAACAGAAUUAACUGUUGUCUCAACGGAUGUUUUUGUGUUACAUUGGAGAGCAGAAUCCAAAAGAAAUAAUCCUCAAGUUUAUUUCCUUAAGCAGCCUGAAAUGUUCAUUUCCCAGUAAAGUCCUAAAAGGGAAAUAUUUACUAAUGCUCAUUUACGUUUUACGUAGGAAUCUCUGAAAUAUAAAUAGCAUUUUCAUUAUUUCAUUAUUUUAUUUAAAGAUAUUUCAUAGUUAGUUUUACCUGAUUUUAGUUUUUUUGAUAGUCUCAUAGCUAACUAAUCAGGUAUUUUUAAAAUAUUUCUAACAGUAUAUCAAGUAACAUAAUAAUAAAGUGUUUAGGAUAUUACAUCAUUGAUAUUUGAUACAGAACUUUCAAAUUGUGUUAUUUGAGGAAAUAUACUUAUUCACUUUCUUAUAUGGCUUGAAUGGUGCUCAUUUUUCUGAGAGAGUGAGUUAGCUUCAGGAAUUUUCCUCGGUGCAUUUCUCUGUAGUCUUCUGGAAUAGUCUCCCCCUUUUCCCUCUUCUACAGUUGUCAGCUAUCUCAAAUGAAACAUCAGGUUACUCUUUGCUCACCAGAGGGUAUCAUGACAAAAAUGACCAGACAUUUGUUGAACCAGUAAAGCAGUGCACUAAUAUACCCAAUGUAUAAACUCAUUUUAAAGACCAAAUUCUCUUCAUUUUCUAAAUUUUCUUCAGUGAACAUUUUGUACAUACUAUCUUUCACAAUGCAAUAUAAGAAACCAACAAAGAACAUUAGCUUACUUAUAAAUUUCUAGUAUUCAAUAUUCAAUGCAGAUUUUUUCUAAGCUCAGAGAACUGGGAUUAUAUAGCUGAAACUACUUUUCAGCUGCAUCAUUUCUUUAGUACUGCUAUCACCAAUCACUAGAUGAGAACUAAAUAUGUAGUUUUACACAAUGCACAAACUGUUCUACAUUUCUUCUGGUAGAAAUUCUAGAGUAAAGCAGUUGUCCAUAAAUCCAUAAGCUGUUCAAAGUUUUGUCUUGCUAUUAUUCAUUUUCUUAGCCAGUUAGUAAAGACUGGCUAAAAUCUAGCUGAUACUAAGCUAGUCUUCACCAGUAUAACUAUGCCACCUAUUAAAAUUUUAAAAGACUUACUAUGUUAAAAGGAGCUGUCAUGAGCCUCUUGGAACCAUACUUCCCUCUAGGAACCCCUUAGUUCUGAAAAUACGGCAACUAAAGACCAACCUAUGGCAUUCUGUGGGGUUUGGGGACCCUUCCCUGCGCUAAACAUAUCAGGCAUCUCUGCUGGCUAAUAAAAUCCUAAGCAUACCAGAUUUUCUUUUAAAUUGACAUCAUCAUUGUAGCUAUGAGGAGAAAAUGUUUCUUAAUAAAUGUGACCUUAAAAAGUAAAUAGGAAGAGAAAGACUUGAUUGUAGGAAGCAGUAAGGUGGUAGAAAAAUCACAGCAGAGGUGGAGUUGAAGUCAGACAGUGUUCAGUUCCAACCAGAUCUGUCACCUAAUAGUUUUGUGAUCUUAGUAAGAGUUCAAGCACAUACUAAGCCUCAAGCUUCUUUAAAAUGAACAUAAAGCCCAUUUUGCAUAGGAGAGUGUUAGGAACAGUAAUGUUUAAAAGUGCCUGACCCCACUCUAAACCAUUAAAUACCUUAACCCUCACAGUGCUCAAUAUAACAGAGCAAGCAGAAUUUGCAUCCCCUUGCUUCUGAUGUCUGUCUGUCAGUCACCACCCUGAACACAGCUGCUGUAACAAGCACAAAUGGGGGGGGGGGUUCUAUUCAGCUCUGAAGAACUUGGCAUCUAAAGUUGAUGGAACACAAGGAAAAUCCUAUUUAUUUCUCCUAACUUGCUACAAGGUAUUGGCAGUCUGGUUGUCUGUGGGUAAACUUAAUAUCUUGAUUAGCUCUCCUGAGAAUGCUUCUGGAAACUGCUGUAUGAAGUGGGAAGUAGAAAACUGGCUAAUACCUAUGGUGGCUUCAGAAUAGUCUGUGGAGGUCUAGCUGCUUAGAAUUGUAAGAUGUGUGUUACCUUGACAACCACAGGCAGCCCAAGGCUGGGUUUUGUGUGGCUUUAGAUGCCUUUGCAAUUCCUUAUGGGGAUGAAUGAUUUGUAUGUCUAAUCAAUGAAUGGUGAAGACAUGUUACUUAACAAGAUUAAUGAAGCUCACAUAAGGCAUUUUGUCUGCUAGGCCCAAUGUUGUGGCUUCCUUAGAAACAUGGUUAAUGUGUCUAGAAUGUUGGUCCCAGGGAGGACCAAAACCUUCUUUAGCACUAGAUGAAAUUUCAUACUGGGACCAUAAGUAUAUUUUUCAGUUGCUUCAUACAUAAUCUCAGAAUCUAGAUUAAUCCUAGAACACUAUGAGGAAGAUUUUUUUUAAAUUACUGAUGAUUUUGAUAACACUUGGAUGACUUCUAGACCUGGUACCUCCCCUCAUUAAAUCAAUCCUGACCCUUUGUUUUUUACUAGGCUAGCAAACAAUGAAAACCAGUUUUUUGAUAUCUUUGCUCUGAGAAAAUUCUGGACCGUCAUUUUCCUUUCCCUAAUGUUCCUGACUUUCUACUUUUUUCUAUCAUGAUCUGAUUUUAUCUUCCUUUCUUGAGUUCAUGCUUAAUCCUUUCAAUCUGACUGUAAUGAACACAAAUCUCAGUCUGUAAGCACAGACAUACAUACUCUCUUCUUUUAUCUAUAAUUGAAACUUUUUUUCUUGGUUGUUGAGAGACAUUUCAAUUAGCUAUUUAUUGCUAUGUAACAAAUUACUCAAAAUCCUAAUAGUAAAACAACUUACCUUGAUUAUCUGACAUGAUUUCUGAGGAUCAGGAAGCUGGGAGCACCUGAGCUGGGUGGUUCUGCCUCAGAAUCUCUCUUGAGGUUGAAGUCAAAUGGCAACAGGACUUUCAGGCUAGAAAACUUAACCAGGACUGGAAGAUUUACUUCUAAGGCUACUCAUCACCUAGGUCUCUCUCCAGGGCUACUCUUCACCAUAGCAGCUGGCCUCCCCCUGGAGUGAGCAAUGAGAGAGACAGCCAGAAGUUCUCUUUUAUAAUCUGAUCUCAUAAAUGAUGUACCAUCACUCAUGCUUUUUUCUGCAGACUAACCCUGAUACAGUGUGGAAGAAGACUACACAAAAGUGUAAAUACCAGGAGGUGGAUCAUGGGGAGGCCACACAUGUUUUCCCUCUCCAUUUUGCUAGAUCAGGAAACUUAAUUAUAGACAACUUAAGGUUCUCUAAGCCCCAUUCCUGCAGCUGUGCGCUGCAUGUAAAUCUUUACAUAACAAUAAAUCCAGUGUGUUUUGAUUUUUUUUUUAAGAGUGUGAAGUUAAGGGGCAGGUAUAUCUGGUCUUUGGUAUUAUUAUAUAUCCACCCUGAAAACUGUUUACAAACUAUAAUAGACAUUGCUAGCAUACCUCCCACUUAACAUCCAGCAAGAGUGAGGAGCGUGAUCUGUUUAUGCCCCCAAAGACUUGCUCUUCUCACUUUAAAUGUAUUGGGACGUCCUAAGCACUCCUCAUUACGGAUCAUGUGGUUUUGAGGGGAGGAGGUAGGGCAUUACCACGGAGAGAAUGGUGAGACAUGAAUGAGAACAAGAGGACAAGAAGGCAAGGACACUAAGAAAAUAUUCACAAAGAUUAUUAUGUCAAGUUUACACAUCAAGACUUGUAUUACCCAGUAAUACAUAGGUUGUCUGUCUUGGUGCCUGUAUACUCUUACAUGAAGACACAUGUAUAUCAAAACCACAUCCUCUGGACGGCUCUGAUCACAAAGCCUCACAAUUGCCAACUUGGGCAAGGUUCUAGAAAUAUGGGCCAUACGUGACAGCCUAAAAGUUUUCUUUUGACAUUUGUUGAAAAGAAAAUCAGCUUUCUUCCUCUGAAGCUAGCAUGAAAAUGAUACUUUACCCUCCAGGAUCCUCAUAUUGUGACAAGUUGAUAAGCACUCUAUUUUCACCCUCCUAUUUUCUCCAUCAUAAAUAGGUUUCCAUUUGUAAAUUCUGUGCACAUUUUCUCCUAGAAGCAGGAAAGACGGCACACUGCCCUAUUUUAGCUCAGUGGGGCAAGAGCAUUGGAGAAGAUGAAGGGUGACUAUUACCUACCAUGAGUGUGUCUGAAUGAUGGUGCCCACAAAAUCAGAAUGUACAUUCAUGGGGAAAGCACCCGCAUGACAUACCAGUCUAUAUUCUUGCAAUAGCUAAUUUUAUAUAAUCCAGUUUAUGGCUUUAAGGAUAUAUCUGAGUCUGGUGGAGUGAAUAAAACCACAUACAUGAAUCAUCUGAUCUGUGAACAGAUGAUUUGCAACAUUACUUUCCAAAAGGGAUUUGGAAGUGAUUUAGCUCAUUCUACCCUGAUACCUAACCAUUUUCUUUGUCUUUCUUCCAUCCUUAACUUAUACAUUUUUGACCCACUUGCUUAGUUUCUUAAUCAAUACAUUAGCCCUUCCCACUAGUAUAGCGUUUGAUUUGGAAAGCACUAUGGAGAACAUACUCUUUAGUGUGGUCCCAGGACUGUUUCCCAGGUAUUGCCAAGAGUUGACAUCCAUGUGGAUGUGGCAUAGAUUUUCAGGGUAAGCUGAAAACUGAUAUAUAAAUGUUUUGUUACCAUGUUGUAAUUUCACCUACUUCUUUGCAAACACUACAGAAAAAGACAAACAGAGAUGUGUUGGGAAAGCAGCACUGUCAAAAGGCUAAAUUCUGUGGUAGGAAAAUGCUAAAUAAGUGCUUGAAUAAAUUGCC
RNAcentral lists this long non-coding RNA (4903 nucleotides) under Sus scrofa (pig). RNAcentral describes it as "lncRNA (ENSSSCG00000052086.1)". Lineage: Eukaryota; Metazoa; Chordata; Mammalia; Artiodactyla; Suidae. The record is from RNAcentral.